GCGUCCGUAGCUCAGCUGGAUAGAGUAUCUGGCUACGAACCAGGCGGUCAGAGGUUCGAAUCCUCUCGGACGCGCCA
Molecule: transfer RNA, 77 nt
Filed under: Vibrio cholerae
Lineage: Bacteria; Pseudomonadati; Pseudomonadota; Gammaproteobacteria; Vibrionales; Vibrionaceae
Description: tRNA-Arg
Rfam family: tRNA
About the family: Transfer RNA (tRNA) molecules are approximately 80 nucleotides in length. Their secondary structure includes four short double-helical elements and three loops (D, anti-codon, and T loops).
Source: RNAcentral